RNAcentral lists this ribosomal RNA (429 nucleotides) under Actinomycetes bacterium. Its description in RNAcentral is "Actinobacteria bacterium partial 16S ribosomal RNA". It matches the Rfam family "Bacterial small subunit ribosomal RNA", at positions 355 to 776 of the family's 1533-position model. Lineage: Bacteria; Bacillati; Actinomycetota; Actinomycetes. The record is from RNAcentral.
UAGGGAAUCUUCCGCAAUGGGCGAAAGCCUGACGGAGCAACGCCGCGUGAGUGAUGAAGGUCUUCGGAUCGUAAAACUCUGUUAUUAGGGAAGAACAAAUGUGUAAGUAACUAUGCACGUCUUGACGGUACCUAAUCAGAAAGCCACGGCUAACUACGUGCCAGCAGCCGCGGUAAUACGUAGGUGGCAAGCGUUAUCCGGAAUUAUUGGGCGUAAAGCGCGCGUAGGCGGUUUUUUAAGUCUUAUGUGAAAGCCCACGGCUCAACCGUGGAGGGUCAUUGGAAACUGGAAAACUUGAGUGCAGAAGAGGAAAGUGGAAUUCCAUGUGUAGCGGUGAAAUGCGCAGAGAUAUGGAGGAACACCAGUGGCGAAGGCGACUUUCUGGUCUGUAACUGACGCUGAUGUGCGAAAGCGUGGGGAUCAAACAGG